This 497-nucleotide ribosomal RNA is filed under the name uncultured bacterium. Its description in RNAcentral is "partial 16S ribosomal RNA". It matches the Rfam family "Bacterial small subunit ribosomal RNA", at positions 28 to 507 of the family's 1533-position model. The record is from RNAcentral.
GAUGAACGCUGGCGGCGUGCCUAAUACAUGCAAGUCGAGCGAACAGACGAGGAGCUUGCUCCUCUGACGUUAGCGGCGGACGGGUGAGUAACACGUGGAUAACCUACCUAUAAGACUGGGAUAACUUCGGGAAACCGGAGCUAAUACCGGAUAAUAUAUUGAACCGCAUGGUUCAAUAGUGAAAGACGGUUUUGCUGUCACUUAUAGAUGGAUCCGCGCCGCAUUAGCUAGUUGGUAAGGUAACGGCUUACCAAGGCAACGAUGCGUAGCCGACCUGAGAGGGUGAUCGGCCACACUGGAACUGAGACACGGUCCAGACUCCUACGGGAGGCAGCAGUAGGGAAUCUUCCGCAAAGGGCGAAAGCCUGACGGAGCAACCCCGCGUGAGUGAUGAAGGUCUUCGGAUCGUAAAACUCUGUUAUUAGGGAAGAACAAAUGUGUAAGUAACUAUGCACGUCUUGACGGUACCUAAUCAGAAAGCCACGGCUAACUACGUG